Molecule: long non-coding RNA, 964 nt
Organism: Rhododendron vialii
Lineage: Eukaryota; Viridiplantae; Streptophyta; Magnoliopsida; Ericales; Ericaceae
Exons: 2
Source: RefSeq, a predicted model, not a curated record
UUUUAGUUAGAGAGCAUAUCCAUAUUUCGUACCCAAGGGAAAACGUGAAAAAGAGCAGGGAAAAAAACCAUGCAAUAGCAAAAGAAAUCAUUUUACAGUGCUGGACCACUAGUAUAACACAUGAUUAUUCUUGUCAACAAGGAUAUGUAGAAGCCCAUUCGUUUUUGAAUAGAUUGAUCGACCAUGGGUGGGCAAGGAGCGAGCAGAAGGAGGAUAUGGACCAACUUCCAAAGAAGUACAUGCUUCGAACCAACCCCAUUAUCUUGGUGCAAUUCCUUUAUAAUAAUGACGGUCAUGUCUUCUCUCAGAAAUCAAAAACCCAUAAACCUUAUCCAUAUUAUGCAAACAAAGAGUAAAUUCCUUGUAAGAUAUAGUCCAAGUAAUCCCAACCAUAGUUAGAGAAAAAUGAGAACAUGUAAACUCACAAAACCUUGGGACUUGCAAAAUACUCAUCCAGCUAUUACUAAAAUUAUGCUGCAAUUUUCAAACUACCAACUGUUAUCUAGAAUCCAUUAAUCUUGACUUCAUUAUGUUGGGGAAGGAUCCUUAAAAUUACGCUGCGAUAUAUGAGUAUUUCUAAAUUAAUUUUGGAGUACUUUCCACAACCUGUUUUUGAAACCUAAAAGUCUGAAACACUUCUAACUUUAAAUCUUAUCCAUUUUCCCCGUAGAAGCAGUUUUAGAAAGUUUGGAAACAUGUGUUCUCGAAACAAACUACUUUCCAAAAAUAAUGCUAGGAAAAAAAAAAUUCCGAAGACCGCCAGCCAAACAAGUUUCUGAAUUUUGAACUUUUUGAAAAACGCAACAACCAAAUGGGGAUGUUCUUGGAGUGUUUUCAAUUUGGAGUGUGAUGAGAGUCGUCAUUUUACGAGGCUGUUUGUUGUUUAUGAGGCCCGCAAGUUUGGGUUUAAUUUUUGUUGUCCCGCUCUAUAUGUUGAUGCCACAUCCUUCAAGGGGACACACAA